RNAcentral lists this ribosomal RNA (737 nucleotides) under uncultured Enterobacteriaceae bacterium. Its description in RNAcentral is "bacterial SSU rRNA". It matches the Rfam family "Bacterial small subunit ribosomal RNA", at positions 764 to 1502 of the family's 1533-position model. Lineage: Bacteria; Pseudomonadati; Pseudomonadota; Gammaproteobacteria; Enterobacterales; Enterobacteriaceae. The record is from RNAcentral.
GGGAGCAAACAGGAUUAGAUACCGUGGUAGUCCACGCUGUAAACGAUGUCGAUUUGGAGUUUGUUGCCUAGAGUGAUGGGCUCCGAAGCUAACGCGAUAAAUCGACCGCUGGGGAGUACGGCCGCAAGGUUAAAACUCAAAUGAAUUGACGGGGGCCCGCACAAGCGGUGGAGCAUGUGGUUUAAUUCGAUGCAACGCGAAGAACCUUACCUGGUCUUGACAUCCAUAGAAUUCUGCAGAGAUGUGGGAGUGCCUUCGGGAACUAUGAGACAGGUGCUGCAUGGCUGCCGUCAGCUCGUGUUGUGAAAUGUUGGGUUAAGUCCCGCAACGAGCGCAACCCUUAUUCUUUGUUGCCAGCGAUUUGGUCGGGAACUCAAAGGAGACUGCCGUUGAUAAAGCGGAGGAAGGUGGGGACGACGUCAAGCCAUCAUGGCCCUUACGACCAGGGCUACACACGUGCUACAAUGGCGUAUACAAAGGGAAGCGAAGGUGCGAGCUGGAGCGGAUCUCAUAAAGUACGUCUAAGUUCGGAUUGGAGUCUGCAACUCGACUCCAUGAAGUCGGAAUCGCUAGUAAUCGUAGAUCAGAAUGCUACGGUGAAUACGUUCCCGGGCCUUGUACACACCGCCCGUCACACCAUGGGAGUGGGUUGCACCAGAAGUAGAUAGCUUAACCGCGAGGGGGGCGUUUACCACGGUGUGAUUCAUGACUGGGGUGAAGUCGUAACAAGGUAACCA